GGGGUUGUGGCUCAGUGUUAGAGCCGCUGCAUUGCAUGAAAAAUGUCCUGGGUUCAAUCUCCAGCUUCUCCA
Molecule: non-coding RNA, 72 nt
Organism: Podarcis lilfordi (Lilford's wall lizard)
Lineage: Eukaryota; Metazoa; Chordata; Lepidosauria; Squamata; Lacertidae
Source: the annotation of a GenBank genome assembly